Long non-coding RNA from Physella acuta, 342 nucleotides. RefSeq lists it as uncharacterized. Lineage: Eukaryota; Metazoa; Mollusca; Gastropoda; Physidae. The record is from RefSeq and is a predicted model, not a curated record.
UGAAGAUAAGGCUUCCUUUUUUAAACAAAUAGCACAGGAAUGGAAGGGUUUUGAUAAAAUAACAAAAUUAGAAAUGAGCAUAAAGGCAGAAAAAAAAAACAAACAAUCUACCAUUUUUGGACUUGAUGAUGACAGAAUUGCAAAUAGGCUGUUUAAAAAGCUGACUUCAUUGGUAAAAUAGUUCAAUUCUGCCAACAUAAAAUUUAUAGCUGCCAUUCUCCAUUUUGACCCUCUAAGCAGAGUUAACAUAUUCUGUACAAAAGAUGCUGAACAUCUAAAAAGUGACAUUCAAGAUAUUAUGUUCAAAGAUCCAUUACAAAGUUGUACGCGGUCUGUUAGGAU